This 910-nucleotide ribosomal RNA is filed under the name methanogenic prokaryote enrichment culture B31_4_118. RNAcentral's name for it is "bacterial SSU rRNA". It matches the Rfam family "Bacterial small subunit ribosomal RNA", at positions 8 to 916 of the family's 1533-position model. The record is from RNAcentral.
AGAGUUGAUCCCUGGCUCAGGAUGAACGCUAGCGGCAGGCUUAACACAUGCAAGUCGAGGGGCAUCACGAGUAGCAAUACUUGGUGGCGACCGGCGCAAGGGUGCGUAACGCGUGAGCAACAUGCCCGUAUCAGGGGGAUAAUCCAGGGAAACUUGGUCUAAUACCCCAUAGCAAUUGAAGGAGGCAUCUUCUUUGAUUUAAAGCUUUGGUGGAUACGGAUUGGCUCGCGUGACAUUAGCUAGAUGGUAAGGUAACGGCUUACCAUGGCUACGAUGUCUAGGGGUUCUGAGAGGAAGGUCCCCCACACUGGAACUGAGACACGGUCCAGACUCCUACGGGAGGCAGCAGUGAGGAAUAUUGGACAAUGGAUGGAAAUCUGAUCCAGCCAUGCCGCGUGCAGGAAGACGGCCCUAUGGGUUGUAAACUGCUUUUAUAUGGGAGCAAUAAGACCUACGUGUAGGUCGAUGAGAGUACCAUAUGAAUAAGCACCGGCUAACUCCGUGCCAGCAGCCGCGGUAAUACGGAGGGUGCAAGCGUUAUCCGGAUUUAUUGGGUUUAAAGGGUGCGUAGGCGGUUUGAUAAGUCAGCGGUGAAAUAUUUCAGCUUAACUGGAAGGGUGCCGUUGAUACUGUCGAGCUUGAAUUUAGUUGCUGUGGGUGGAAUGUGUGGUGUAGCGGUGAAAUGCAUAGAUAUCACACAGAAUAUCGAUUGCGAAGGCAGCUCACAAAGCUAAUAUUGACGCUGAUGCACGAAAGUGUGGGGAUCAAACAGGAUUAGAUACCCUGGUAGUCCACACUGUAAACGAUGAUAACUCGCUGUCGGCGAUACACAGUCGGUGGCCAAGCGAAAGCGAUAAGUUAUCCACCUGGGGAGUACGACCGCAAGGUUGAAACUCAAAGGAAUUGACGG